CAAUACAAUACAAUACAAUACAAUUUUAUUCAAUAAAAUAAAAUACAUAAGAUAGAAAUAACAUGACCCGCAAAUAGCAAUAGCUAAUCAGAGGCGGGCAUGAAAUAUAAAUUUAGACAGUUAUAAUUUCAAUUAGUUGCAGACAAUUUUACUGUAUAUAUACGUGCAGAAAAAAUAAAAAAAAAUUAAAGAAAUGUAUUAUUAGCGGUGGAAUUUGAAAGGUGGUGUAGGAUCUGAUUGAUGAAUGAUGUACUGUUAAUAACGUACCCAUGAAAUAUUAAAAAUAAGAUCAAACAGACAUUCUCUGCAAAAUCAUAGGGAGAUCAACAUAGUCA
Paramuricea clavata is the source of this 335-nucleotide non-coding RNA. Lineage: Eukaryota; Metazoa; Cnidaria; Anthozoa; Malacalcyonacea; Plexauridae. The record is from the annotation of a GenBank genome assembly.